ACGUGGAGGACCGAACUCACUAAUGUUGAAAAUUAGGGGAUGAACUGUGGAUGGGGGUGAAAGGCCAAUCAAACCUGGAGAUAGCUGGUUCUCCCCGAAAUAUAUUGAGGUAUAGCCUCGUGUGAUUCGCGCUGGAGGUAGAGCACUGAAUGGGCUAGGGGUCCCACAGGAUUACCAAACCCAACUAAACUCCGAAUGCCAGCGACGUCAGCACGGGAGUCAGACUGCGGGAGAUAAGUUCCGUGGUCGAGAGGGAAAAGAGCCCAGACUGCCAGCUAAGGCCCCCAAGUGUAUGCUAAGUGGAAAAGGAUGUGGGGACACAUAGACAACCAGGAGGUUGGCUUAGAAGCAGCCAUCCUUAAAAAGAAAGCGUAAUAGCUCACUGGUCAAGUGGCUCUGCGCCGAAAAAUCCAACGGGGC
RNAcentral lists this ribosomal RNA (420 nucleotides) under uncultured bacterium. RNAcentral describes it as "bacterial LSU rRNA". It matches the Rfam family "Bacterial large subunit ribosomal RNA", at positions 764 to 1181 of the family's 2925-position model. The record is from RNAcentral.